This 492-nucleotide ribosomal RNA is filed under the name uncultured bacterium. RNAcentral's name for it is "partial 16S ribosomal RNA". It matches the Rfam family "Bacterial small subunit ribosomal RNA", at positions 29 to 507 of the family's 1533-position model. The record is from RNAcentral.
AGUGAACGCUGGCGGUAGGCCUAACACAUGCAAGUCGAACGGCAGCACCGUAAGAGCUUGCUCUUACGGGUGGCGAGUGGCGGACGGGUGAGGAAUACACCGGAAUCUACUUUUUCGUGGGGGAUAACGUAGGGAAACUUACGCUAAUACCGCAUACGACCUACGUGUGAAAGCACGGGAUCUUCGGACCUUGCGCGAUUGAAUGAGCCGAUGUCGGAUUAGCUAGUUGGCGGGUUAAAGGCCCACCAAAGCGACGAUCCGUAUCUGGUCUGAGAGGAUGAUUGCCAGCACUGGAGGUGAGACACAGUAGACACGCGUACGGGGGGAACCAGACGGGAAUAUUGGAGAAAGCGGCAAAGGCUGAUCCAGGCAUACGGCGUGUGUUAAGAAGCCGUUAGGGUUGUGAAGCCCUUUUGGUGGGAAAGAAAAACAGCAGGUUAACCCGCCGCUGUACUGACGGUACCCGAAGAAUAAGCACCGGCUAACUUCGUG